GAUGAACGCUGGCGGCGUGCCUAAUACAUGCAAGUCGAGCGAACGGACGAGAAGCUUGCUUCUCUGAUGUUAGCGGCGGACGGGUGAGUAACACGUGGAUAACCUACCUAUCAGACUGGGAUAACUUCGGGAAACCGGAGCUAAUACCGGAUAAUAUUUUGAACCGCAUGGUUCAAAAGUGAAAGACGGUCUUGCUGUCACUUAUAGAUGGAUCCGCGCUGCAUUAGCUAGUUGGUAAGGUAACGGCUUACCAAGGCAACGAUGCAUAGCCGACCUGAGAGGGUGAUCGGCCACACUGGAACUGAGACACGGUCCAGACUCCUGCGGGAGGCAGCAGUAGGGAAUCUUCCGCAAUGGGCGAAAGCCUGACGGAGCAACGCCGCGUGAGUGAUGAAGGUCUUCGGAUCGUAAAACUCGGUUAUUAGGGAAGAACAUAUGUGUAAGUAACUGUGCACAUCUUGACGGUACCUAAUCAGAAAGCCACGGCUAACUACGUG
RNAcentral lists this ribosomal RNA (497 nucleotides) under uncultured bacterium. Its description in RNAcentral is "partial 16S ribosomal RNA". It matches the Rfam family "Bacterial small subunit ribosomal RNA", at positions 28 to 507 of the family's 1533-position model. The record is from RNAcentral.